Molecule: ribosomal RNA, 434 nt
Filed under: uncultured Pseudobutyrivibrio sp.
Lineage: Bacteria; Bacillati; Bacillota; Clostridia; Lachnospirales; Lachnospiraceae
Description: partial 16S ribosomal RNA
Rfam family: Bacterial small subunit ribosomal RNA
Source: RNAcentral
ACGGGAGGCAGCAGUGGGGAAUAUUGCACAAUGGGCGAAAGCCUGAUGCAGCGACGCCGCGUGAGUGAAGAAGUAUUUCGGUAUGUAAAGCUCUAUCAGCAGGGAAGAUAAUGACGGUACCUGACUAAGAAGCACCGGCUAAAUACGUGCCAGCAGCCGCGGUAAUACGUAUGGUGCAAGCGUUAUCCGGAUUUACUGGGUGUAAAGGGAGCGUAGGCGGCAAGAUAAGUCUGAAGUGAAAGCCCGGGGCUCAACCGCGGGAUUGCUUUGGAAACUGUAGUGCUAGAGUGUCGGAGGGGUAAGUGGAAUUCCUAGUGUAGCGGUGAAAUGCGUAGAUAUUAGGAGGAACACCAGUGGCGAAGGCGGCUUACUGGACGAUUACUGACGCUGAGGCUCGAAAGCGUGGGGAGCAAACAGGAUUAGAUACCCUGGUA